Molecule: ribosomal RNA, 486 nt
Filed under: Staphylococcus aureus
Lineage: Bacteria; Bacillati; Bacillota; Bacilli; Caryophanales; Staphylococcaceae
Description: partial 23S ribosomal RNA
Rfam family: Bacterial large subunit ribosomal RNA
Source: RNAcentral
GAUUAAGUUAUUAAGGGCGCACGGUGGAUGCCUUGGCACUAGAAGCCGAUGAAGGACGUUACUAACGACGAUAUGCUUUGGGGAGCUGUAAGUAAGCUUUGAUCCAGAGAUUUCCGAAUGGGGAAACCCAGCAUGAGUUAUGUCAUGUUAUCGAUAUGUGAAUACAUAGCAUAUCAGAAGGCACACCCGGAGAACUGAAACAUCUUAGUACCCGGAGGAAGAGAAAGAAAAUUCGAUUCCCUUAGUAGCGGCGAGCGAAACGGGAAGAGCCCAAACCAACAAGCUUGCUUGUUGGGGUUGUAGGACACUCUAUACGGAGUUACAAAGGACGACAUUAGACGAAUCAUCUGGAAAGAUGAAUCAAAGAAGGUAAUAAUCCUGUAGUCGAAAAUGUUGUCUCUCUUGAGUGGAUCCUGAGUACGACGGAGCACGUGAAAUUCCGUCGGAAUCUGGGAGGACCAUCUCCUAAGGCUAAAUACUCUCUAG